UAAUACGUAGGGUGCAGGCGUUAAUCGGAAUUACUGGGCGUAAAGCGUGCGCAGGCGGUUUGCUAAGACAGGUGUGAAAUCCCCGGGCUUAACCUGGGAACUGCGCUUGUAACUGGCAAGCUAGAGUGUGGCAGAGGGGGGUGGAAUUCCAGGUGUAGCAGUGAAAUGCGUAGAGAUCUGGAGGAACACCGAUGGCGAAGGCAGCCCCCUGGGCUAACACUGACGCUCAUGCACGAAAGCGUGGGGAGCAAACAGGAUUAGAUACCCUGGUAGUCCACGCCCUAAACUAUGUCAACUGGUUGUCGGGGAAGCAAUUCCUUGGUAACGAAGCUAACGCGUGAAGUUGACCGCCUGGGGAGUACGGCCGCAAGGUUA
Molecule: ribosomal RNA, 375 nt
Filed under: uncultured bacterium
Lineage: Bacteria
Description: bacterial SSU rRNA
Rfam family: Bacterial small subunit ribosomal RNA
Source: RNAcentral